UUAUAACAUCAACAGGUCGGCUUACAUGUAGCCAAUAGUUUAUAACAUCAACAGGUCGGCUUACAUGUAGCCAAUAGUUUAAUAACUUCAACAGGUCGGCUUACAUGUAGCCAAUAGUUUAAUAACAUCAACAGGUCGGCUUACAUGUAGC
Oncorhynchus keta (chum salmon) is the source of this 151-nucleotide long non-coding RNA. RefSeq lists it as uncharacterized. The record is from RefSeq and is a predicted model, not a curated record. The transcript has 3 exons. NCBI's taxonomy places the organism in Eukaryota, Metazoa, Chordata, Actinopteri, Salmoniformes, Salmonidae.